Molecule: ribosomal RNA, 424 nt
Filed under: uncultured bacterium
Lineage: Bacteria
Description: partial 16S ribosomal RNA
Rfam family: Bacterial small subunit ribosomal RNA
Source: RNAcentral
AAUGUUCCUCAAUGGGCGGAAGCCUGCCGGAUCAAGGCCGCGCGAGUGAAGGAGGUUUUCCGAUCGUAAAACUCUGUCGUAUGGGAAGAACAAGAACAGUAGUAACUGGCUGUACCUUGACGGCACCUUAUUAGAACGCCACCGCUAACUACGUGCCAGCACCCGCGGUAAUACGUAGGUGGCAAGCGUUGUCAGGAAUUAUUGGGCGUAAAGCGAGCGCAGGCAGGGCGUUAAGUCUGAUGUGAAAGCCCACGGCUCAACCGUGGACGGUCAUUGGAAACUAGGGGACUUGAGUGCAGAAGAGGAAAGUGGAGUUACAAGUGUAGCGGUGAAAUGCGUAGAGAUUUGGAGGAACACCAGUGGCGAAGGCGACUUUCUGGACUUAUACUGACGAUGAGGAACGAAGGCGUGGGGAGCAGACAGG